RNAcentral lists this unclassified non-coding RNA (253 nucleotides) under uncultured Caryophanales bacterium. RNAcentral's name for it is "uncultured Bacillales bacterium contains 16S-23S intergenic spacer region". It matches the Rfam family "Bacterial small subunit ribosomal RNA", at positions 524 to 776 of the family's 1533-position model. Lineage: Bacteria; Bacillati; Bacillota; Bacilli; Caryophanales. The record is from RNAcentral.
UACGUAGGGGGCAAGCGUUGUCCGGAAUUAUUGGGCGUAAAGCGCGCGCAGGCGGCCUAUUAAGUCUGAUGUGAAAGCCCGUGGCUCAACCACGGAGGGCCAUUGGAAACUGGGGAACUUGAGAACUGAAGAGGAGAGUGGAAUUCCACGUGUAGCGGUGAAAUGCGCAGAGAUAUGGAGGAACACCAGUGGCGAAGGCGACUUUCUGGUCUGUAACUGACGCUGAGGCGCGAAAGCGUGGGGAGCAAACAGG